UACGUAGGGGGCUAGCGUUGUCCGGAAUCAUUGGGCGUAAAGCGCGUGUAGGCGGCCCGGUAAGUCCGCUGUGAAAGUCGGGGGCUCAACCCUCGGAUGCCGGUGGAUACUGUCGGGCUCGAGUACGGAAGAGGCGAGUGGAAUUCCUGGUGUAGCGGUGAAAUGCGCAGAUAUCAGGAGGAACACCUAUUGCGAAGGCAGCUCGCUGGGACGUAACUGACGCUGAGACGCGAAAGCGUGGGGAGCAAACAGG
RNAcentral lists this ribosomal RNA (253 nucleotides) under uncultured bacterium. RNAcentral describes it as "partial 16S ribosomal RNA". It matches the Rfam family "Bacterial small subunit ribosomal RNA", at positions 524 to 776 of the family's 1533-position model. The record is from RNAcentral.